UACGUAGGGGGCAAGCGUUGUCCGGAUUUAUUGGGCGUAAAGAGCGUGUAGGCGGUUUGGUAGGUCCGUUGUGAAAACUCGAGGCUCAACCUCGAGACGCCGAUGGAAACCAUCAGACUAGAGUCCGGAAGAGGAGAGUGGAAUUCCUGGUGUAGCGGUGAAAUUCGUAGAUAUCGGGAGGAACACCUGUGGCGAAGGCGGCCAUCUGGACGACAAUUGACGCUGGAGAACGCGAAACGUGGGUAGCAAACAGG
Molecule: ribosomal RNA, 254 nt
Filed under: uncultured bacterium
Lineage: Bacteria
Description: partial 16S ribosomal RNA
Rfam family: Bacterial small subunit ribosomal RNA
Source: RNAcentral